Molecule: ribosomal RNA, 320 nt
Filed under: uncultured Prevotella sp.
Lineage: Bacteria; Pseudomonadati; Bacteroidota; Bacteroidia; Bacteroidales; Prevotellaceae
Description: bacterial SSU rRNA
Rfam family: Bacterial small subunit ribosomal RNA
Source: RNAcentral
GAUGAACGCUAGCUACAGGCUUAACACAUGCAAGUCGAGGGGCAGCAUGGUCUUAGCUUGCUAAGGCUGAUGGCGACCGGCGCACGGGUGAGUAACGCGUAUCCAACCUGGCCCAUAGUAGGGAACAGCCCGGCGAAAGUCGGAUUAAUGCCCUAUGUUCUCCUUUGAGGGCAUCUGAGAUGGAGCAAAGAUUUAUCGCUAUGGGAUGGGGAUGCGUCUGAUUAGGUUGUUGGCGGGGUAACGGCCCACCAAGCCGUCGAUCAGUAGGGGUUCUGAGAGGAAGGUCCCCCACAUUGGUACUGAGACACGGACCAAACUCC